Molecule: long non-coding RNA, 383 nt
Organism: Carlito syrichta (Philippine tarsier)
Lineage: Eukaryota; Metazoa; Chordata; Mammalia; Primates; Tarsiidae
Exons: 2
Source: RefSeq, a predicted model, not a curated record
CAUGCUAUCUCCUAAAGCAGUCGUUCUGAAACCCAAUCUGGGGACAGUGCAGACUAAAUAAAAUUUCAUUUUGAUUUGGCCUCCCGCUGCGAACGGGACUGCUUUGUCUCAGCCGACAGAACCAGCAAGCCAGAAAGGUGUUGAAUACUAAAACACUGACUGAAAGGAAAAUUGUGUAAGUGCUGCUGCUCGGAUGCUCCAGAGAUUUUACUGGAAGAUUUGUCAUGCUGAUUUUAUUGUAAAUUUGAAGAUGCAUUUAACGGCUUUGAAGGACUUUAGCUUUCAUGGCCCUUUUGAGCCGCUUUGGCAGAAAAGCAAUCGCCCAUUUUAGAGAAGGGGGGAAGUAGAAAAUAAAGACUCCCUUCCAAUGGGAAUGAACUGUU